CCUCGUUGUCUUGUUGCUUAACCACACUUCCCUUACACAAACACGCUUCCCUCAAAAAAAUCAUAACUAAUUUCAUACAAACCCUAAUCAGAAUUGAAAAUGGCACAACGAUCAUAGAUGAUUACGAAUUCCGUGAAUCCGAUGAUGAUGUUCGUAGGGCUGAACAGCUUCGGUCUCACACCGCUUUAUCCUAUGCUCCUCCUGCAUUCAUGCCUAAAAUCAAGGUUGGUAGAUUGAAAUAGAACUGUAAGAAGGUAUCUAUACAAUAAGCUGCCACAAAGAGCUCUGCAGGGACUCCUCACUUCACCCAAGAAAAUCAAGCCAUCAAGAGGCAGGAAAAACUAGACAGGUUUAUGUUCGUGACACACCAAAAACACCAUCUACACGCAACUCAACUCCAAGAAUCACUAGUCCAAAUCCAUUCCAUCUUGACACUGAGGAAAGAGGAGCCGAGAAAAAAAAGAAAUUCAAGAAUUGGAAGAGGAAGCAGCACGGGUUCCAAAGGCUAACCCAAUCCCCUGCACCAUCGACUAUCUCGUGGUACAAAAGUGUUUAUUUUGGUGGUUCAUAAUCUAGUUCAAUUUUUUACGACAUUAUUAUUAAAUCUAUUGAUAAUUUGCAGAAAGCCAGAACCCAAACACUGCACAAAACCUGAGGGAUUUCAAUUGCAGAGUCUAGUAAGACAUGAGGAAGAAAUGCAAAGGGAACAAGAAAAAAUGGAUGACUAGUAAAUUUUGUAUGUUCCACCCAUUUUUUUGUUGGGUGGAAUAUACAAAAUUUACUGGUCAUCCAUUUUUUCUGGUUCCCAUUUCUUCCUUAUGUCUUAUUAGACUCUGCAAUUGAAAUCCCUCAGGUUUUGUGCAGUGUUUGGGUUCUGGCUUUGGUGGGAUCUGCAAAUUAUCAGUAGAUUUAAUAAUAAUGUCGUAAAAAAUUGAACUAGAUUAUGAACCACCAAAAUAAACACUUUUGUACCACGACAUAGUCCGUGGUGCAGGGGAUUGGGUUAGCCUUUGGAAGCCGUGCUGCUUCCUCUUCCAAUUCUUUCUGCAAAAGUCUCAUGUUAAAUUUCUUUUUUUUCUCGGCUCCUCAGUGUGAAGAUGUAAUGGAUUUGGACUAGUGACUCUUGGAGUUGAGUUGCGUGUAGAUGGUGUGUCACGAACAUAAAAAGUUCAAUCAAUAGUUAAAAAAAUGUAUAAGAAUCUAUCUUGACCAAUACCAGAAAACAAAGAGACCUUUUAACAAUUACCUGUCUAGUGUCUAGUUUUUCCUGCCUCUUGAUGGCUUGAUUUUCUUGGGUGAAUUGAGGAGUCCCAGCAGAGCUCUUUGUGGCAGCUGAUUGUAUAGAUACCUUCUUACAAUUCUAUCUCAAUCUACCAACCUUGAUUUUAGGCAUGAAUGUUGCAAAAAAUUUAACAUCCGACCAAGUAAACCCUUUGUACAUCAUAGAAACAAUUAAAACAAUGUCUAAAGCUCAAGUAUGAUUGAUAAACAAAGUUAUCUGGAUGAAACAUAAAAAACUAUGAGGAUCAAAAGCCUUGAAAAGCAAUCUGUUUCAUCUAUGUAUUAUAAGUGCUUUUGCCACAUAAUUUGUUAGGAUAUAUAUAGAAUUGAGAAAUUUUAUAGGACGGACUGUCCAUGUCCGACAGGUUGUUAUUUCCAGCUCAUCUAUCUUAUCUUGUAACCCUUUAAGUGCGUGCAUAUAAAUAAGCAAGAAAUCCAAAACUAAACUCAUCUGGCUUAACACCAAGCUUUGUCAUAAUUCCAAUAACUCUGUCAGCAUCAGGCUUGAAGAGCAGCAUUACAAGCAGAAACAUCAGGUAUCAUAAAGUCCAGCUUGUCAUCGAAAGCAACCCUGCAGUUCUCUUCAAAAAGAGGUAAAAAGGCAGCAAGGUUGUCAUUGUUUCUAGCAAUAUCAACGAGCACGCCGCCCCACGAAUGAAAAGGAAUGAGUAAAGAGAUGGAGUUUCGGAGGAGAAUGAUCUUGUUCUAUAUGGAACAACAUUCAACUUCAUAAGUUUUUUCGCCAUUAUUCAUUUCAUUCAACCAUGUUUUGCGUUUUCGAUUUAUGCUCCUUUCAUUCUUCACUGAUGGGUUCGUGGCAUUUGCGUACUUUUCAUUAAGAACAAUUGAAUUAUAUUAAUCUAUUAUCAGUUCAUAAAUAAGAAGCUGGAAUAGCUCAGUUGGUUAGUGUGUGUGGCUCUAACCACAAGGUCAGAGGUUCAACCCUUCCUUUUAGCGACUUUUCAUUUUUUUUGUAUUUAUUUUUCUUCUAAUAUUUUUUUGUUUUAUUUUUCUUCA
Molecule: long non-coding RNA, 2298 nt
Organism: Medicago truncatula (barrel medic)
Lineage: Eukaryota; Viridiplantae; Streptophyta; Magnoliopsida; Fabales; Fabaceae
Exons: 3
Source: RefSeq, a predicted model, not a curated record